UGCAGUCGAGCGGACAGAUGGGAGCUUGCUCCCUGAUGUUAGCGGCGGACGGGUGAGUAACACGUGGGUAACCUGCCUGUAAGACUGGGAUAACUCCGGGAAACCGGGGCUAAUACCGGAUGGUUGUUUGAACCGCAUGGUUCAGACAUAAAAGGUGGCUUCGGCUACCACUUACAGAUGGACCCGCGGCGCAUUAGCUAGUUGGUGAGGUAACGGCUCACCAAGGCGACGAUGCGUAGCCGACCUGAGAGGGUGAUCGGCCACACUGGGACUGAGACACGGCCCAGACUCCUACGGGAGGCAGCAGUAGGGAAUCUUCCGCAAUGGACGAAAGUCUGACGGAGCAACGCCGCGUGAGUGAUGAAGGUUUUCGGAUCGUAAAGCUCUGUUGUUAGGGAAGAACAAGUGCCGUUCAAAUAGGGCGGCACCUUGACGGUACCUAACCAGAAAGCCACGGCUAACUACGUGCCAGCAGCCGCGGUAAUACGUAGGUGGCAAGCGUUGUCCGGAAUUAUUGGGCGUAAAGGGCUCGCAGGCGGUUUCUUAAGUCUGAUGUGAAAGCCCCCGGCUCAACCGGGGAGGGUCAUUGGAAACUGGGGAACUUGAGUGCAGAAGAGGAGAGUGGAAUUCCACGUGUAGCGGUGAAAUGCGUAGAGAUGUGGAGGAACACCAGUGGCGAAGGCGACUCUCUGGUCUGUAACUGACGCUGAGGAGCGAAAGCGUGGGGAGCGAACAGGAUUAGAUACCCUGGUAGUCCACGCCGUAAACGAUGAGUGCUAAGUGUUAGGGGGUUUCCGCCCCUUAGUGCUGCAGCUAACGCAUUAAGCACUCCGCCUGGGGAGUACGGUCGCAAGACUGAAACUCAAAGGAAUUGACGGGGGCCCGCACAAGCGGUGGAGCAUGUGGUUUAAUU
RNAcentral lists this ribosomal RNA (913 nucleotides) under Bacillus siamensis. RNAcentral describes it as "bacterial SSU rRNA". It matches the Rfam family "Bacterial small subunit ribosomal RNA", at positions 56 to 951 of the family's 1533-position model. Lineage: Bacteria; Bacillati; Bacillota; Bacilli; Caryophanales; Bacillaceae. The record is from RNAcentral.